RNAcentral lists this unclassified non-coding RNA (250 nucleotides) under Hevea brasiliensis (rubber tree). Lineage: Eukaryota; Viridiplantae; Streptophyta; Magnoliopsida; Malpighiales; Euphorbiaceae. The record is from RNAcentral.
GAGACGGCUCAUCGAGCGCCGUAAUUUCGGUGCCGUUGACAUGCACCGAACCUUGAGUUGGAUGUUCAAGACCGUUGAUCAGACGGAUCAGUGACGAUUUUCCAGCGCCGCUGCGCCCAAUGACGCCAAGGAUGGCUCCCUCUGGAACCUUCAGAUUAAUGUCGUCGAGUGCAACGACUUCGCAAGUACCUUUUCGCGCCGGAUAGACUUUGCGAAUGUCCUCAAGACGUAUGCCGGAUGAUGCCGACGU